GAAAUGCGAUAAGUAAUGUGAAUUGCAGAAUUCAGUGAAUCAUCGAAUCUUUGAACGCACAUUGCGCCCGCCAGUAUUCUGGCGGGCAUGCCUGUCCGAGCGUCAUUUCAACCAUCAAGCCCCCGGGCUUGUGUUGGGGACCCGCGGCUGCCCGCAGGCCCUGAAAACCAGUGGCGGGCUCGCUGUCACACCGAGCGUAGUAGCAAUCACCUCGCUCAGGGCGUGCUGCGGGUUCCGGCCGUUAAACAGCCUUACAAAACCCAAGGUUGACCUCGGAUCAGGUAGGAAGACCCGCUGAACUUAAGC
Molecule: unclassified non-coding RNA, 306 nt
Filed under: plant metagenome
Description: partial contains 5.8S ribosomal RNA, internal transcribed spacer 2, and large subunit ribosomal RNA
Rfam family: 5.8S ribosomal RNA (bases 1-105)
Source: RNAcentral